This 274-nucleotide ribosomal RNA is filed under the name uncultured bacterium. RNAcentral describes it as "partial 16S ribosomal RNA". It matches the Rfam family "Bacterial small subunit ribosomal RNA", at positions 523 to 796 of the family's 1533-position model. The record is from RNAcentral.
AUACGGAGGGUGCAAGCGUUAAUCGGAAUUACUGGGCGUAAAGGGCGCGUAGGCGGUCUAUCAAGUCAGGUGUGAAAUCCCACGGCUCAACCGUGGAGGUGCAUCUGAAACUGAUAGACUUGAGUAUGGGAGAGGAAAGUGGAAUUCCCGGUGUAGAGGUGAAAUUCGUAGAUAUCGGGAGGAACACCAGUGGCGAAGGCGACUUUCUGGACCAAUACUGACGCUGAGGCGCGAAAGCGUGGGGAGCAAACAGGGUUAGAUACCCUAGUAGUCC